GCCUGGAUGCUAAAGUUCGUGGGUUUCUGAAUGUGUGCUUCAGAAAAAAUAAACGUUUAUUGUAUUGUAACCAAGCGUAGCUGGACAAUUACAAGAUCAUUCAUUUCCAUGAAGUUGAAGACCAGGGCAGCAUGGUGGUGCAGGGGGUAGCACUGUCGCCUCACAGCAAGAAGGUCCUCUGUUCUGGGUCCGGCCUGGCCUUACUGUGUGGAGUUUGCAUGUGUGGGAGUUUCCACAGGCACAGUCCAGUCAACUGAAAUUCGUAACACAACGCAAGCACACGCUGCAGUUUCAAGCGCCACAGCAUUAUAGCAGAGGGUCUGUGCAGAGGGAGUGCGCCGGACGGAGCGAGGCCCACAGCGGUAAUGUAAAGGCAUCUAUGCGGGCCACGUCCACGCCGCCGCGUCCGCGCGGCUGGCCGAGCCGCCCACCCCAGCCCCCGAAACGUGGAAGCGGGAGGGCCCCCUGGGACCGGGGCUGUGCCGGGCCUGGCGCACCGCUCAUUACUCUUACAUUAAAACCAGUCACGAGGAAAAUUGCUACGGACCCCCACACCACCUGGACCAGUCCAUCCGCCCGCCCACCCACCCACCCCCCAUGUCCAACCCCGCCGCGGCAGCGUGCACCAGAGCAGACAGAAGUGGAGACGGUGGCGCCGUGCCACUUCCUUAAGCUCCUGUGUGUCAUGAGGACGGUUCAGUUUAAGCAAGGCCAGCGUAUGCAUUCACAUAAGAGACCCACGCAUAUGUAAAGCCAGGCUCAUGUCACUACCGCGCACACUCAUGUUUCAAAAGAGUAGGAAGCUAAAUCAUGAAAAGAUUGGGACAUGUUGAUCUAAGAUGUAGCUAAAACAUUUUUUUUUUAUUAUUAUUAUUUCUGUUAUUCACAUUGAAACAGUAAAAACAGUAACAUGUAUGUCCCUUGUGCUGACAUUCUGUAUCUCGGACAACACUGUAAUCCUGUCCUUGUUCAGAUAUCCCACAAUAAAUAUGACUCCAACGAAAAAUGUAUCUCUCUGCUGACUUUCAUACAGAGUACAAAAUCUAGGUGCAAAAAGUCUUUGUCAGAUGUGGAGAUUAGAGUACAUUGAAUCCCAUUUCAUUGUCUAUUGUGUUAUUGAAAUAAAUUGUCUGACAUGCACAUAAAAUGGCAAUAUGUGACCCUGAAUAUGUGCUACAACAAAGGAGCUCCCAUUCCAUUUUGUUUUUAUUCCCUGACAUUAUCUCCAGUCCCUCAAAUCACUGGUCUUUACACACAUUCUCCC
Molecule: long non-coding RNA, 1264 nt
Organism: Anguilla anguilla (European eel)
Lineage: Eukaryota; Metazoa; Chordata; Actinopteri; Anguilliformes; Anguillidae
Exons: 3
Source: RefSeq, a predicted model, not a curated record